RNAcentral lists this ribosomal RNA (220 nucleotides) under uncultured bacterium. RNAcentral's name for it is "partial 16S ribosomal RNA". It matches the Rfam family "Bacterial small subunit ribosomal RNA", at positions 524 to 743 of the family's 1533-position model. The record is from RNAcentral.
GACAGAGGGUGCAAACGUUGUUCGGAAUUACUGGGCGUAAAGCGAGUGUAGGCGGUUUGGUAAGUCGGAUGUGAAAGCCCCGGGCUCAACCCGGGAAGUGCACUCGAUACUGCCAAGCUAGAGUAUCGGAGAGGUUGGUGGAAUUCUCGGUGUAGAGGUGAAAUUCGUAGAUAUCGAGAGGAACACCGGUGGCGAAGGCGGGUCUCUGGGCCGAUACUGA